AGGAGCAGCAAAGGUUCUUAUCUGUGCGUGUACUCGUCAAUCGAGUCUUCGAUAUGGUGCCUGAUAACUUAGAGGACCGCAGUCUUGAAGUGCCCUGCACCUCUUUUAUUUUCUCGCUCAGCAAGGGAAUGCCUGGCAAACAUCCAUACUCCCAGGAUUGCAUCUCUCCAAGGAAAGUCCCCAAGCUAGCUGGUGGGACCAAUCCAAGCAACCCAACAACAUCAUUUGAACAAGAAUGACUAACUUCACCUUGUUCAUGUAUGCUUUAUUUUAUCAGAUCUCUCAGUUAGACAUUUCUAUGUUUGGAGCUUUACUGGUAAUUGAACUACUGUAAAUAGAUAUUAGGAAGAAUGCAAAUGCCUAAAUGGUAAUGGAUAAUUUUAAUAAUGGAUUCCUUUCCCCUUUGUCCAUAA
Molecule: long non-coding RNA, 413 nt
Organism: Arachis stenosperma
Lineage: Eukaryota; Viridiplantae; Streptophyta; Magnoliopsida; Fabales; Fabaceae
Exons: 2
Source: RefSeq, a predicted model, not a curated record